UCAGGUAUAUCCUACGGUAUAUUCUAACAAAAAUAUUAUGUCACAACACAUGCGACAAAAGACCAACAAAAAGGUUCUAUAUGUACAUGUUGAACCAAAACAAAUUAUAAUCACAAGGUCUCAAAAAGAAGGUAACAACAUGUACCGCUCUACAAUUAUAAAAAAUAAAUACUAAACAUGAUAUCCUAAUUCAAAGAGUACAAAUACGAGUCCAGUGUGUCAACUCCAAAAUGAAACAAAUAUAUGAAUUUCACAAGAAACAAUUAUGUGAAAUAAUAACAGAAUUUGAAACGAAGAACAAAACGAAUAAAUCAAAUUUAACAAAAG
This 327-nucleotide long non-coding RNA is filed under the name Panax ginseng (ginseng). RNAcentral's name for it is "long non-coding RNA (PGIN_LNC018968)". Lineage: Eukaryota; Viridiplantae; Streptophyta; Magnoliopsida; Apiales; Araliaceae. The record is from RNAcentral.